AUGAUCUACCGCAACUGGUCCCUGCUCUCCUCCACGGUCGUCAUCUGGGGCAGCGUCGGCGCCGCCGGCCUCGCCGGGAUCUUCCUCUUCGGCGGCAAGGAGAAAUUCCAGGGCUAUCUUUCUCGCGAAGGCGAGAGGCUAAGGCAGCAGGACAGAGCCAUGAUGGGCAAGAACUAG
RNAcentral lists this ribosomal RNA (177 nucleotides) under Triticum aestivum (bread wheat). RNAcentral describes it as "partial small subunit ribosomal RNA". Lineage: Eukaryota; Viridiplantae; Streptophyta; Magnoliopsida; Poales; Poaceae. The record is from RNAcentral.